UUAUCAUAUUUUGCAUCGAGACUAAAAAUUUGAAUGGUUUGUAUUUUCAGGAUCACUUUCUUAACGUUUACAGGAUGCAGGGUUUCGAUGACAUGCAUGUGGCCUAUAGAGAUAAUGCUCAGAAAGAGCGCUACAUUGCUUUGUAUCAGCGCCCUAUGGCACCCACACGUUACCCUGAUCAGCACUGUAUGGAGGCACUGGGUAUCGAGCCGAGUAUC
This 218-nucleotide long non-coding RNA is filed under the name Lathyrus oleraceus (garden pea). RNAcentral describes it as "Pisum sativum (pea) long non-coding RNA (PSAT_LNC017955)". Lineage: Eukaryota; Viridiplantae; Streptophyta; Magnoliopsida; Fabales; Fabaceae. The record is from RNAcentral.